AUUGAACGCUGGCGGAAUGCUUUACACAUGCAAGUCGAACGGCAGCACGGACUUCGGUCUGGUGGCGAGUGGCGAACGGGUGAGUAAUGUAUCGGAACGUGCCCAGUCGUGGGGGAUAACGUAGUGAAAAUUACGCUAAUACCGCAUACGAUCUAUGGAUGAAAGCGGGGGAUCGCAAGACCUCGCGCGAUUGGAGCGGCCGAUAUCAGAUUAGGUAGUUGGUGGGGUAAAGGCCCACCAAGCCAACGAUCUGUAGCUGGUAUGAGAGGACGACCAGCCACACUGGAACUGAGACACGGUCCAGACUCCUACGGGAGGCAGCAGUGGGGAAUUUUGGACAAUGGGCGAAAGCCUGAUCCAGCCAUUCCGCGUGCAGGAUGAAGGCCCUCGGGUUGUAAACUGCUUUUGUACAGAACGAAAAGGUUUCUACUAAUACUAGGAGCUCAUGACGGUACUGUAAGAAUAAGCACCGGCUAACUACGUGCCAGCCGCCGCAGUAA
RNAcentral lists this ribosomal RNA (500 nucleotides) under uncultured bacterium. RNAcentral describes it as "partial 16S ribosomal RNA". It matches the Rfam family "Bacterial small subunit ribosomal RNA", at positions 30 to 523 of the family's 1533-position model. The record is from RNAcentral.